AUGCAGGUUUUCUUUUUUAUUCUGGAGACAAAGACUGAGCCCAAUAUGCUAAAACAAUUCACACUGUGUGCAUACUACAGGCUUGUUAGAACAGCACCGAGAGUGACAAAACACUGUUUAAUGCCCUCCCCCAGGUCAGUUCAGACCCCUUUGUUUCUUAAAGCUGACAUACAGCAUAUAAUAAAAUAAAUAAAUAAGUAAAAUAUCCUUUGUUGUUUGUUUGUUUAUUUGUUUUUCUCUGAAAAAGUCAGGGUCUUGUUUGACAGAAAAUACCUUUAAGUAUAUCAUUAAUAU
RNAcentral lists this long non-coding RNA (294 nucleotides) under Anas platyrhynchos platyrhynchos (common mallard). Its description in RNAcentral is "lncRNA (ENSAPLG00000029106.1)". Lineage: Eukaryota; Metazoa; Chordata; Aves; Anseriformes; Anatidae. The record is from RNAcentral.